UGGCUUCUCCGUGCAGAAGAACAGGC
Molecule: non-coding RNA, 26 nt
Filed under: Rattus norvegicus (Norway rat)
Lineage: Eukaryota; Metazoa; Chordata; Mammalia; Rodentia; Muridae
Source: RNAcentral